GUCCUUUCGGGGACAUCCGAUAAAAUUAGAACAAUACGGAGAAGAUUAGCAUGGCCCUUGCACAAGAAUAAUGCAGAAGCAAAAUAAAAAGAUUAA
This 96-nucleotide small nuclear RNA is filed under the name Solanum tuberosum (potato). Lineage: Eukaryota; Viridiplantae; Streptophyta; Magnoliopsida; Solanales; Solanaceae. The record is from RNAcentral.